AUUUUAUUAAUUUUGUAUUGGUAGGAGUGACAUGGUCCAGCAAGCUGAACUGCCAGGUGGUAAAUUUUAUUGAUUUUUUUUUAUUUCCUAGUACUCCAGGUUUCCAGACAACUGAGGUAGAUAACAUCACAAGUUCAGGAUGCCUUUCUGCUCAAGUCAGUUAUGAUGCAGUGCUUCAUCCUGAAAGAUAGCUCUGAUGGAUCUGUGAUCAAGUCAGAUUCAUAUGGCUAUUCAGAUUGCCAUCAGAGCCUUUGUGAGAGCAGAAUGUCAUCUUGGAAACCAAGACCUUCAACCAGUACUGAACAGUUUUGAUGGGAGAUUCCGGCCUCCCUUCCAAAAUAGCAGUAGCUACUGCAAGUGAGGGGUUGCUGCUUGGGGGAGAGGAACAACCCUCUGGUUGCCACAGAAUCACUCCGUAGCAGCAGUGACUUCAGGCUAUGGUCUCUCCCAGCAUAUCUUACUUAGCCCAGGAUUAUUCUAAACCUAAAAACAAAAUGAAAAUGCAUCUGUGCAUGCUUGAUGGCUCCUAAGUCUUACCUGUGGCCAGUUGUGUGUGAUAGAAACUUAAGUACUUUAAGUACUUUUUGUUUUAGGUAAAGAAGCAAACGGUGAAGUCAAGGUGCAAACCAAGCUGGAGUGAGAAAUACCAAGGAAUCACAGCCAGUUUUGCAAGCAUUUUUUCUCUUGCUCUGGAAGGGAUAUGAGUGGCAGUAUAACACCUGUCCAAAAAAAAAAAAAAAAAAAAAAAAGUAAACAUGCAUCCUCAGAGUCCAUUAUUCACAUAAAUAAAAGUUUGAAGGCCCUGUGCUACACGAUCCUAUUUUUAUUACAAUUAUGAUAUGUUGUGGCCAACUUGCUUCUCCACAGGGUGCCCAGGCCCUGCUAGCCCCCGAACCACACGUCACAGGGGGGUUAUUUUUUCCCCAAACAGGGAUCUUGAUCCGGAGCGAUCGGCAUGAAGCAGGCCGUGUCCCUGGGGAUGUGCGGGGCGGCCGGCCCAGGCAGGAUCAGGGCAGUGCCUGUCUGAUGGAAACCUCCAGAAUGAACGGGCUUCUGUUCCUUGCUGCAAG
Molecule: long non-coding RNA, 1070 nt
Filed under: Anas platyrhynchos platyrhynchos (common mallard)
Lineage: Eukaryota; Metazoa; Chordata; Aves; Anseriformes; Anatidae
Description: lncRNA (ENSAPLG00000020366.1)
Source: RNAcentral